This is a non-coding RNA of Meleagris gallopavo (turkey), 318 nucleotides long. NCBI's taxonomy places the organism in Eukaryota, Metazoa, Chordata, Aves, Galliformes, Phasianidae. The record is from RefSeq and is a predicted model, not a curated record.
CAGGAGGCGAAGCAGGCACAGACACGAGGUACCAACACAGAGCCACCCUCAAGGGCCCGGGCAGACUCACUGGUCCCGAAGGAGGAUGGAGCUGGGCUGCCCGGCACCCUGCCGACCACCGCCGCCCCUAGGAUGCCCUCUCUCCGUCUGGUGGCCCUGAACGCGCCCCUCUCCGGGGACAUGAGCGGCAUCCGCGGCGCCGACCUGCAGUGCUACCGGCAGUCACAGGAGGCCCGGCUCUACGGCACUUUCCGGGCGUUCCUGUCGGCUCCCAGCCAGGACCUGGCCUCCAUCGUCAAGAGGACGGACAGGACCCUC